Molecule: ribosomal RNA, 213 nt
Filed under: uncultured bacterium
Lineage: Bacteria
Description: partial 16S ribosomal RNA
Rfam family: Bacterial small subunit ribosomal RNA
Source: RNAcentral
UACAGAGGGUGCGAGCGUUGUCCGGAAUCACUGGGCGUAAAGGGCGCGUAGGUGGCGACCCAAGUCGAUGGUGAAAGCUCGCCGCUCAACGGCGAGUCGGCCACUGAUACUGGGUUGCUGGAGCACUGUAGAGGCAGAUGGAAUUCCGGGUGUAGCGGUGGAAUGCGUAGAGAUCCGGAAGAACACCGGUGGCGAAGGCGGUCUGCUGGGCAG